Branchiostoma floridae (Florida lancelet) is the source of this 1412-nucleotide long non-coding RNA. RefSeq lists it as uncharacterized. The transcript is spliced from 2 exons. Lineage: Eukaryota; Metazoa; Chordata; Leptocardii; Amphioxiformes; Branchiostomatidae. The record is from RefSeq and is a predicted model, not a curated record.
UACAAGUGGCGUGAGUUUGCCAGUAUAUUACCGAAAGUGGUAGUUUCAAAGUACUUCCUCUUUAUGUAGCAUUGUGUUUAUGGGAACUUGUGAUACAACAUUUUUCAUCUGUUUCUUCCAUAGAGAAGGCCUGCAUUCGUCAACAGACAUAUGCCCAAUAACUCCUGAUAUGUUGGUCAUGCUGGUACAGGAACACACUUUGGGUCAUGUUUGCACAGGAACAUAACACAAUUUAUUCAAACUUGGUUCUAUAAGGACGUUUACUUUUCUCUCGACUUCUUAUGCAGGUUUGCUGAGGAACAUCGAAUCUUACAAUGGUUAUCAUGUAAUUUUUCUCUAUCUGAGAAGUGAUUGUGUUUGUUUUAGGAUCAAGGAAGACUGAUCAGUAUAGAGAUGGCAGCUCGACACCUAUUGCACGCACAGGAAAGGUCAACUGCCCAGUCAACAUGUUGCAGAAGUAUUGUACAUUGGCUUGUAUAGAUCUCUCAUCUGACAGAUUCCUUUUCAGAAGUAUCACAAGAACCAAAUCAGGCUCCAAGUUAAGCACUUCUGGGCGUCCUACACGCAUACAGCUGGAGAGUUGGACCUCGACAUGCAAAAGACUGUUGUUAAUGAUGUUUCUUGUUUGUGGCAACCCUUUUCCAGACAGACUGUAUAACAGAUACAGAAGGUGGAUCAUUGAAGGAGAGGUCGGCUGUUUAUAUGGCGAUAGACUUUUAAUCUUGCAUGAAACUUUCCCGUGAUUUGUUCGUUCGACGCGAUGCGGUGCGGUGUCCACGCACUCGCGCCCAUCCUAACACUUGUGUUGGUGUUUCUCUGUGUGUGUGAAGAGUAUGAAUGCAUCGUGAGGGAGAACUGUGUAGGGGUGAUGCAGAAAAUGAUAAUUAUUUGCGUUUGAGGAACUAACUUCGUUACUGUGACGAAUUAGCAUAUAAUUGAGUUUCUGCAGUAACGCAGGUGUAUCACAGGUGUAUGGUAAGUACUUAUAGUGCUACAGAAGUAGUCUGUUCAUUCGACGCUUGGCACGACACCCAGGAAGCAACAAGAUCGUUGUUUAAGGACAUGGAGUGAUUCUUUUCAGAAAGAAACCCCAGAGAAGAUUGGUUGUUUGCGCUAAGGCUCUGGUGCACGUCCCCCAUUUUUUUGGCCUUCGUACUUUCGGGAGUUUUUUUUAGGGCUUGCGUGUCUGGCAAACAACGUAUGCAGCUAUUUAUGCUGUGCUUUACGGUUUGGCUUACUCGAUUACGAAAAAUCGUGAUGUUUGGUAUAUGUUUGGAUUUGGUUUGAUGAUCGUGUUUGGAUAUUGAUGUUUCGGUGUUCUAUUGCAUUUUCGAACUGCCGUUCUCGUUACGAUUGUACCUUUGGCAAAUAAAAGUCUUCCUGCGGUGUCCACGCACUCGCGCCCAUCCUAA